UAUUUGGGGCAAUAUGCGCAAUUGUUUCUACAUAGGCGGUAAUGGUAACGUUUUCUUCUGUUGCUCAGCCCAUAUCAUAAACUUGUAUAUGUAUGAUGGCUUGUUUCGAAGCUGAGACAUUUUUACAUAUGUGGUUAAAUUUUCGGGGUCCGAAGUGUGAUUCAUUUUUCCGUAAAUUAGCAAACCCUGAGUAUCCUUUUGCGAUGUGGCUCCUCAUGGUAAAAAAUCCCAUUUUUGACACAAUAAGUUCU
This 251-nucleotide long non-coding RNA is filed under the name Mytilus galloprovincialis (Mediterranean mussel). Lineage: Eukaryota; Metazoa; Mollusca; Bivalvia; Mytilida; Mytilidae. The record is from RNAcentral.